CGGACGGGUGAGUAAUGCUUGGGAAUCUGGCUUAUGGAGGGGGAUAACUACGGGAAACUGUAGCUAAUACCGCGUAGUAUCGGAAGAUGAAAGUGUGGGACCGCAAGGCCACAUGCCAUGAGAUGAGCCCAAGUGGGAUUAGGUAGUUGGUUAGGUAAAGGCUGACCAAGCCGACGAUCUCUAGCUGGUCUGAGAGGAUGACCAGCCACACUGGAACUGAGACACGGUCCAGACUCCUACGGGAGGCAGCAGUGGGGAAUAUUGCACAAUGGGGGGAACCCUGAUGCAGCCAUGCCGCGUGAAUGAAGAAGGCCUUCGGGUUGUAAAGUUCUUUCGGUGAUGAGGAAGGCGGUUGUUUUAAUAGAACAAUCGAUUGACGUUAGUCACAGAAGAAGCACCGGCUAACUCCGUGCCCGCAGCCGCGGUAAUACGGAGGGUGCGAGCGUUAAUCGGAAUAACUGGGCGUAAAGGGCACGCAGGCGGUGACUUAAGUGAGAUGUGAAAGCCCCGAGCUUAACUUGGGAAUUGCAUUUCAUACUGGGUCGCUAGAGUACUUUAGGGAGGGGUA
RNAcentral lists this ribosomal RNA (568 nucleotides) under uncultured Actinobacillus sp. RNAcentral's name for it is "bacterial SSU rRNA". It matches the Rfam family "Bacterial small subunit ribosomal RNA", at positions 99 to 663 of the family's 1533-position model. Lineage: Bacteria; Pseudomonadati; Pseudomonadota; Gammaproteobacteria; Pasteurellales; Pasteurellaceae. The record is from RNAcentral.